GAAACUGUAGGAACAGGUCUUCCGCUUCAGCUCAGGAACUGUUGCCAUCUCUAUCAGUAGACAAACUCUGGAAUGUACCUGAGAAAUGAUAUGCAUGCAGAGAUUAGUUUUUUUUCUUUUUCUUUUUCUUUUCUUCUUCUUUUUUUUUCAAUCAAUUUUUUUUAUUGCGUUUCUUUUGAAAAAUAAAUAUGCUAUGAUGCACAUGAUGCGGACUAGACUGGCUGGUCGUGCAAUUCUGAUCACUAGGUCGAAGCUUCAGUCAAAACUCGGAACUUAAAUCCAACUUAAGGUCAAACUGAUCACACUGUAUGAACACAAAGUCACCAUCAGAACCAAAGUCACCA
This 344-nucleotide long non-coding RNA is filed under the name Lathyrus oleraceus (garden pea). Its description in RNAcentral is "Pisum sativum (pea) long non-coding RNA (PSAT_LNC041117)". Lineage: Eukaryota; Viridiplantae; Streptophyta; Magnoliopsida; Fabales; Fabaceae. The record is from RNAcentral.